Molecule: ribosomal RNA, 279 nt
Filed under: uncultured bacterium
Lineage: Bacteria
Description: partial 16S ribosomal RNA
Rfam family: Bacterial small subunit ribosomal RNA
Source: RNAcentral
UGCCAGCAGCCGCGGUAAUACGGAGGGGGCUAGCGUUGUUCGGAUUUACUGGGCGUAAAGAGUACGUAGGCGGAUUGCCAAGUCAGAUGUGAAAUCCCGGGGCUUAACCCCGGAACUGCAUUUGAAACUGGCAGUCUAGAGAUUAUUAGAGGUUGGUGGAAUUUCUUGUGUAGGGGUGAAAUCCGUAGAUAUAAGAAGGAAUAUCAAUAGCGAAGGCAGCCAACUGGGAUAAUACUGACGCUGAGGUACGAAAGCGUGGGGAGCAAACAGGAUUAGAUA